AAUUGCUUUUGGUGUCCAUGGAUGACAUAUGGGUAAUUGGUCAACAUGGUAGUUGCUUAUGGUGUCCAUGGAUGACAUGAGGGUCAUUGGUUAACAUGGUGUAGUUACUUAUGAUUUCCAUGGAUGAUAUAUGGGUUAUUGGUCAACAUGGUAGUUGCUUAUGGUGUCCAUGGAUGACAUAUGGGUCCUUGGUCAAGCAGGUGUAAUUGCUUAUGAUGUCCAUGGAUGACAUAUGGGUCAUUGGUCAACAUGUUGUAUUUGCUUAUGGUGUCCAUGGAUGGCAUAUGGGUCAUUGGUAAAGAUGGUGUAGUUGCUUAUGGUGUCCAUGGAUGAAAUACGGGUCAUUGUUCAAGAUGGUAGUUGCUAAUGGUGUCCAUGGAUGACAUAUGGGUCAUUAGUCAACAUGUACUUAUUUAUUGUGUCCAUGGAUGACAUAUGGGUCAUUGGUCAACAUGGUAGUUGCUUAUGGUGUCCAGGGAUGACAUAUAGGUCAUUGGUCAACAUGUAGUUGCUUAUGGUGUCCGACAUAUGGGUAAUUAGUAAACUUGGUGUAAUUGCUUAUGGUGUCCAUGGAUGACAUAUGGGUCAUCGGUAAACUUGGUAGUUGCUUAUGGUGUCCAUAGACGACUUAUGCGUCAUUGGUCAACAUGGUGUAGUUACUUAUGGUGUCCAUGGAUGACAUAUGGGUCAUUGGUCACCAUGGUUGUUGCUUAUGGUGUCCAUGGAUGACAUAUGUGUUAUUGGUCAACAUGGUGUAGUUACUUAUGGUAUGUUUGGAUAAAAUAUGGGUCAUUGGUCAACAUGGUAGUUGCUUAUUGUGUCCAUGGAUGACAUAUCGGUCGCUGGUCAACAUGGUGUAGUUGCUUAUGUUGUCCAAGGAUGACAUAUGGGUCAUUGGUCAACGUGGUGUAGUUCCUUAUGGUGUCCAUGGAUGACAUAUGCGUCAGAUGACAUAUGGGUGAUUGGUCAACAUGUAGUUGCUUAUGUUGUCCAUGGAUGACAUAUGUAUCAUUGGUCAACAUGUGAUCGUUGCUUAUGGUGUUCGUGGAUGACAUAUGAGUCAUUGGUCAACAUGGUGCAGUUGCUUAUGUUGUCCAUGGAUGACAUACGGUUCAUUGGUCAACAUGGUAAUUGCUUAUGGUGUGAUGGUAAUUCCCAUGGAUGACAUAUGGGCCAUUGGUCAACAUGUAGUUGCUUAUGGUUUCCAUGUAUGACAUAUGUGUCAUUGGUCAACAUGGUAGUUGCGUAUGGUGUCCAUGGAUGACGUAUAGGUCAUUAGUCAACAUGGUGUAGUUGCUUUUGGUGUCCAUGGAUAACAUAUAAGUCAUUGGUCAACAUGGUAGUUUCUUAUGAUGUCCAUGGAUGACAUUGUUGGAUAAGGUGUCUAAGUCUAUAACUAUUUCUGGUAAGUACUUGAUCCGACCCGACAUGGUCCAUUUGGGUUGCAUGGCACCAUGCUAUUGGAUAGACUAAAUGAGAUAAAUAACACUUGGAGAUUAUUAAUAUAUUAUAAGUUCUAAUAUAUUAAUACUAUUAUUUAAUUAGUUUGAUCAAGAAUUAAUUUAGAAUUAAUUAAGUGAUCAAAAGAUAACUAAUUAAAUAUAUGGGUUGAUUAUGUAAAUCAUCCAUAUCUUGUAUAGUGGGCUAAGAGGCUCUAUGGAUUAUCAAGUUGGGUUCCACCCAUAGGAUGCUCCAUGGGAGUUACAAACCCAUGGGUCAUGGAAAUGAAGAGUCGUGACACAUUAGGGUUUACAUGGUGUAAGAUGUGUUAACACUAUAUAAGAAUCCUAUUCUCCACCAAAAUCGGCUACACAUAUGAUACCAGAGGGCUAGGCCAAUUUUAAGAAGUGUGUGUUCUCUCAAAAGUAUUUCCAAGAGCAUUUGGUGUUGUGUGAAGUAUUAGAGGCAUCACACUUGGGGUGCUAGGCUCACCAGGUUUCAAGGAAUACUUUCAACCACAAGGUAUGUAGUUCUAUCUUUCAUUCAAGUUAAAAAUUGUACCCCAUGUAUGCUAGAUAGGUUCAUAACCUUGGAAAACAACUUUGUAUGAUUAUUAGACAAACAUAGAUCCAAGGUUAUUAGGGUUGCAUGUACACUUAGGAAGUGUUAGAAUGCUUAAAACCCAUCAGUGGUAUCAGAGCCUAGGCUUGCUUGUUUGAUUUUUGUGAAAACUGCUUGAAAAAUCGAGUUUUCUGCUUUCUGCCCAUAUGAACUCGCCGAGUCUAUAGGGGGACUCGACGAUUCCAUGACCAAAUGCAAGCUACUCGUCGAGUCAGUUCAUGCACUCGACGAGUAGAGGCUGCAGUUUUCAGAAUUUCGAUUUUUGUUGCUGGAAAUGGACUAGGAACAUUACCCUAAAUUGUUUUGGUGUUUUAAAACUUUCUUUAGUUGGUGUAAUGUUCAUGUUAAUCCAUUUACAAUGACAAAUUAUCAAAAUUACAAGUUUUUAGGUGUAAUUUUUUAUUCAUGAAAGUGUUCAUAUUCAUGUUCUUGAUCUUAUGAUGUUUAGAUGAUCAUAGGAAUUGUUUGUAACCUAUGUGGUAGAUUAAUUCAUGAUCAUUAUGUGUUUUAAUGGAGUCCAUAACUUGUCCUCAAGUUAUGGAAAACCAAAAGUCACUUUGUUUUUAAAACCAUUAAAAGAACACAUGGGUUAUAAAAAUGAAGAGUCUUCAGUUUUAAUACUCUAAUUAACUCAUAAGUUACAAGAAAUGAAAAGUUUUGAAAGUUUACAAAACUUGCCCUCAAGUUUUGGAACAAGUAAAGUCUUGAUUAAAACUUUAGUUCCAACCCUUAGAAUUUUAAAAGUUAAAAUUCAACCCUAAUACUUAUAAUAUUAUAAGUUAAUAAUAAUAUAUAUGUAUAAGAUCAAAGUCGUCUUACCGCUAGUACGGCUCAUUCACGAAGCCGGUCUAUAAGGGGGGUAUAAGGUUGUUUCCUAUAAAAUGACAACUUAAUGGGUGUCCACUCUCACCCACCGCUUCCUUGAUCGGUGGAGGGUCGUUAGCUGAACCGGUAGGACAAGGACUUAUAUAUUCUCAUAAAAAGUUUGAUGAAUAUUAUAAAGUAACUAAAUGCUUUUAUUAAAUUCACAAUCUUAGUUACUUUGUUUAAGUCGUUGGUGGAGUGUGUGUGGUUAACCGGCACACUAACUUGGACUUAACAAGGUAGGUAAAGGGUGACUUAAGGUUUAUCAUAGUAUCGGUGGAGCGUGUGUGGUUUACCAGCACAUCGAUUGAGUGAUAAACUUUAAGGGUACCAAGUUAUUUGCAUCGUUACUUCACACCUCGUUUUGUGAUCCUUGGUAUCCGAGUCACAAAACCUGGAGGGCACACUCGAGAUUGAAACAUGCCUUUGAAAAGUUCAGUGAGUCUCAAAAGAAUCUAGGAAUUUCUAAGAACCAAUCAAAAACCUAAUAUUUAAUAUUUCGUUUUUCAUGGUGGAAAUUGGUGAAUCAUAUAGCUUGGAUUACAGCAUACCUCUUCGAAGUUAUAAUAUAUUGUGAUUGGAUCCUAGCCUUAAUAUUACAUUUGGGUGUUUUAUUAAGGACUCUUUUAAUAUCUAAACUAAUCUUGUCCUCUUCCUUCAGAUGUCUUCAAACAAUGCUGCUUCUGGCUCGAAUCCUAAUGGCUCCUUUACCCUUAUGAACUUGUGUGGGAAAGUCACUUUUGAUGGAUCCAACUUCAAUGAAUGGAUCAGAAACAUCAGGAUGAUUACUCGCUACGAGGACAAAGAAUAUGUCCUCGACAGGGAGCUUAAGGAGAUUGAUGAGACCACUGCAACUCCCCAAGAGAUCGCUGACUUCCAGGCACAUGAAAGGGAUACUACCAAAGUGGCAUGCAUCAUGAUGGCCACAAUGACAACGGAACUCCAAAAGUCCUAUGAGGACUUCUACCCUUUUGAAAUGCACCAAGAUCUGAUGGAAAGAUACCAUGAAAGUGCAUGAAAAGAGAGGUAUGAAAUCAUCUACUCCAUGAUAACAACCAUGAUGAAGGACGGGGAAUCCGUCACGAGCCACAUGCAGAAAAUGCAAAGGUAUGUGGAUCGUUUGCUGAAGCUUAAUGUGAACUUCCCGGAGGAUCUUGCAAUAGAUAUUAUUUUGCAUUCCUUACCAUCGUGCUAUGAUCAAUUCCGCAUGACAUAUCACAUGAACAAGGAAGAAGUCACCCUCAGCAAACUUCAGGGACUUCUCAAGACCGCAGAAACAGGUCUUAAGGGGAAGUCGGUUGCUAUCACUCCUACUCAAAACUCUACUCCGGUUUUGGCAAUCGGGAAAAGUCGAGGGAGGAAGAGAAAGAGCUCUUCUAAGGGUACCAAGGCUCGGACCCUUGAUGGCUCUUCUUCAAGUGGAACCAAGAAAGGUUUCGUUACUCCUUCUUCUGACCCAAAAGAGGCUGAAUGCUUCUAUUGCCAUGAAAAAGCUCAUUGGAAGCGGAACUGCCCAAAAUACCAGCAAGAUGUGAAGGAUGGGAAAGUUAAACCCAACCAUGCAGGUAUUUACACUAUCAUUUCUAAUAACUCACCCCAUUCUAAUUCUUGGGUCCUUGAUACCGGGUGUGGUAUUCACAUUUGUUGUGACUUGCAGGGACUAAGAAGAAGUGAGGAUGUGGAGCAAGGAAGGAUAAACUUGAUCAUGGGGAAUAGGAAAGCUAUACCUGUUACCAAGAUUGGAGUUUAUACUUUAUCGCUAAGUAGUGGGUUUAGUUUAGAUUUGAAUAAGUGUUGUUAUUCGCCAGGAAUGGCAAGAAAUAUUAUUUCCUUUCAUGCUUUGUACAAACAAGGGUUUACCUUUUCAUUUAAUAAUGAAGUUGGUUCUAUAGAUGUUUUCUAUAAUAAUGUCUUUUAUUUUAAAGCAUUACCUUGUGAUGGUGUGUAUGAAGCUGUAUCUGUUGUAGAUAACUUGGGAAAUAAUGUUUUGUGUAUUGAUUCUACUAAUAAUAACUUGGAUAAAGCAUCUUUAUGGCAUUGUCGUCUUGGACAUAUAAGCAAGAAACGCAUAGGCCAACUCCAAAAGGAUGGAGUCUUGGAGUCGUUUGACCUAAAGUCAGAUGAUAGUUGCGAAUCAUGCUUACUUGGAAAAAUGACAAAGUCACCCUUCACAGGUUCGUGUGAGAGGGGUGAAGGUUUGUUGGACCUUAUACACACGGAUGUGUGUGGACCAUUCAAACAUGCCACAAGGGAUGCUAAUCGUUAUUAUUUGACUUUUACUGAUGAUUAUAGUAGAUAUGGAUAUGUCUACUUGAUCAAGCAUAAGUCAGAGACUUUCGAGAGGUUUAAGGAAUUUAAACAGGAAGUCGAGAAUCAAUUGGGCAGGAACAUUAAGAUGCUUCGAUCCGAUCGUGGUGGUGAGUAUCUUAGUUCAGAGUUCCUCGACUAUCUAAGGGAAUGUGGGAUAGUCUCACAAUUGACACCUCCCAGGACACCACAGUUGAAUGGUGUGGCUGAGAGGCGUAAUCGAACCUUGUUAGAUAUGGUUCGUUCCAUGAUGAGUCGAGCUACGCUACCAAUCUCAUUCUGGGGGUAUGCCUUAGAGACUGCCGCCCAUAUUCUUAAUCUAGUCCCUACAAAGAAAGUUGCCAAAACUCCUCACGAGAUGUGGACUGGUAAAGUACCUAAACUAGACCACAUCAAGAUUUGGGGUUGCGAGGCUUUCGUGAGACGCGAGACUCAUGAUAAGCUCGAACCUUGAAGCGAGAGGUGUAUUUUCAUCGACUACCCAAAGCAAUCCUUUGGUUACCUCUUCUACAGACCGAGUGAAAAUGUAGUCUUUGUAGCUAGGAGGGCUUUCUUUAGAGAGAGAGAGAGAGUUCAUAAGCCAAGGAAACAGUGGGAGGCAAGUUGACCUUGAAGAAAUUCAAGAGUUAAGCGGUGAAGGAACUUCAAACCCUAGCACUCAACUUGAGGAGGAAACUCUUGUUGAGCCAAUUGACAAGUCUGUACCUCUGAGGCGUUCCACAAGGGUUAGGAAUGCACCUGAGCAUUACUAUGGAUUCCAUAUUACUGUGAAAUUUGAUACACUUAUCAGUGAUGAGACACUGAUAAGUUUGGAUGAAUCUAACAGUUACGCGGAAGCCAUGGCAUGCCCUGAGUCAGCCAAGUGGAAAGAGACAAUGGACAGCGAGAUAUAGUCCAUGUAUGACAAUCAAGUUUGGAACUUGGUUGAGAAUGUACCAGGUCGUAAGAUAGUAGGGUGCAAAUGGAUCUUCACGAAAAAGACCGACAUGGAUGGUAAAGUACACACUUAUAAGGCACGACUGGUUGCAAAGGGUUUCUCACAAACUCUAGGAGUUGAUUAUGAUGAGACCAUUUCUCAAGUGGCCAAGAUUAAGUCUAUUAGGGUUCUGUUAGCCAUAGCCGCAUUUCAUGACUAUGAAAUAUGGCAAAUGGAUGUGAAAACCGCUUUCCUUAAUGGAAAGUUGGCUGAAGAUCUCUACAUGAGUCAGCCAGAGGAUUUUCUCAAUACAGAGUAACCUAAUAGAGUGUGUAAGAUUGAGAAAUCCAUUUAUGGGUUAAAGCAAGCAUCGCGCAGAUGGAAUCUUUGCUUUGAUGAGAAAGUCAAGGAAUUUGGCUUUUCUAGGAGUGAAGAUGAAUCUUGUGUAUAUGUCAAGGCUAGUGGGAGUAUAGUUAGCUUUUUGGUAUUGUAUGUGGAUGACAUACUACUCAUAGGAAAUGACAUCCCAACUCUACAGGAAGUUAAGUCCUGGCUUGGGAAGUGUUUCUCUAUGAAGGACCUAGGAGAAGCUGCCUAUAUUCUAGAGAUAAGGAUCUUGAGAGAUCGGAGUAAAAGACUAAUUGGACUUAGUUAGAAUACCUACUUGGAUAAGGUGCUGAAGAGAUUCAGCAUGCAGGACUCCAUGAAAGGAGAGUUACCCAUCCAGAGUAAUGCCAGAUUGUGUAAGACACAAAGCCCUAGUACUGAUGCUGAGAUAGCAGAAAUGAGUCGAAUACCUUAUGCUUCGGCUGUAGGAUCGAUCAUGUAUGCUAUGACGUGUACUCGACCUGAUGUAGCCUUUGCCUUGAGCAUGGUUAGUAGGUACCAGGGAAACCCUGGCAAGGCACGCUGGACUGCGCUAAAGAAUAUCCUCAAGUACCUACGGAGGACUAAGGACUGGGUCGUCACCCUCGGUGGGAGUGAUGACUUGAGAGUUGUAGGGUAUAGUGAUGCUAGCUUUCAGACUAAUAGGGAUAAUUUCCGCUCUCAGUCAGGCUGGGUCUUUACUCUAAAUGGAGGAGCAAUUUCUUGGAAGAGUUCCAAGCAAGAGACAGUGGCUGAUUCAACUUGUGAAUCAGAGUAUAUUGCAACUAGCGAGGCAGCAAAGGAGGCGAUAUGGCUGAAGAACUUCAUUGGAGACCUUGGAGUUGUACCAGCUAUUAAAGAGCCAAUGGAAAUUUUCUGUGAUAGUGAAAGUGCUGUUGCCUUAGCUAAGGAACCAAGGGAUCAUGGGAGAUCCAGACACAUCGACAGAAAAUACCAUUUCAUUAGACAUCGGAUCGAAGAAGGACUCCUCGUGGCAAAGAGGGUAUCAUCGGAUGAGAACCCAGCAGAUCCCCUCACGAAGGGACUGACUCGGGUUAAGCAUCUCCAGCAUGCUCGGAGCAUAGGGCUGAAGGAUGAUAUUAGAUUUAGUAGUUAGAUAACCUCGAAAUUUGUAAAGUGUAAUUGACAUUAGAUGAUGAAUAAAAGGUGUUUUAUUUAUGAGUAAAGUGUUGCUAUCUCUUGUCGAUCGUUUACUAUAUUUCUUUUGCAUGUUUUGACUUCCAGAAUAAUUUUGUUUGGUAUAACAUAUUAUUCAAACCUCCACAGUCGGUCAUAUGUCGGAAGUAGGUAUGAAUCAAGACUGUCAUGAUUGGUUGUAGAGGUCUAAGGUGUUGGACAAGGCUACAACAAUCAUGAGUGCUCAUAAGUUCUGAGCAUUGGACUCAACCCACGCUCACUGGAAUCACUUCAUGGAAUUCUAUCUCGAGUGAUCGUGAGACGGUAAUAUCAUAUAAGUCUUCAAACCUAGAGAUAUGAUUUGUUACUUACAAGUUGGUUAUGCAUUGACUGUACGAAACCGCAUUGGUAACUCGAUGUUAUAAAACGUACUUUUGUGUGUAAUUCAAUGAGUGGUAGAACAAACAUAUGAGUCGAAGUUUAUCUGUUCCUUCUUGGAUUAGAAGCUGAUAUCUGGGCCCCUCGAUGAUUUUGUUUUGACCCAUGUACCGGGCCCGGUCAGAACUAAGUUGAUGUGUUCAAUUAAGUUCUAUGUCAAACAAAUCGGAAAUCGGGAAACAAAUGCUGGACAAUAAGCAAGACAAUGUUCCAUGUAUUUGUCCGGCUGAUAUCUAGAACGGAGGAUUAUAUGAUCACUUAUCUUAAAUGGCGUACCAUCAUCUUCUCAGUUCCGAGAGACCUUGAAAGAGCUACGAUUGCCGGUCGGUUCCUGAAGUACUAGAGAUAUAGUUAUUAGACUUAUCCAAGUGGGAGACUGUUGGAUCAGGUGUCCAAGUCCAUAACUAUUUCUGGUAAGUACUUGACCCGACCCGGCAUGGUCCAUUUGGGUUGCAUGGCACCAUGCAAUUGGAUAGACUAAAUGAGAGAAAUAAGACUUGGAGAUUAUUAAUAUAUUAUAAGUUCUAAUAUAUUAAUAAUAUUAUUUAAUUAGUUUGAUCAAGAAUUAAUUUAGAAUUAAUUAAGUGAUCAAAAGAUAACUAAUUAAAUAUAUGGGUUGAUUAUGUAAAUCAUCCAUAUCUUGUAUAGUGGGCUAAGAGGCUCCAUGGAUUAUCAAGUUGGGUUCCACCCAUAGGAUGCUCCAUGGAUGCUCCAUGGGAGUUACAAACCCAUGGGUCAUGGAAAUGAAGAGUCAUGACACAUUAGGGUUUACAUGGUGUAACCCUAGAUGUGUCAACACUAUAUAAGAAUCCUAUUCUCCACCAAAAUUGGCUACACAUAUGAAAUAAGAGGGCUAGGGCGAUUUUAAGAAGUGUAUGUUCUCUCAAAAGUCAUUCCAAGAGCAUUUGGUGUUGUGUGAAGCAUAUGAGGCAUCACACUUGGGGUGCUAGGCUCACAAGGUUUCAAGGAACACUUUCAAAAACAAGGUAUGUAGUUCUAUCUUUCAUUCAAGUUAAAAAUUGUACCCCAUGUAUGCUACAUAGGGUCAUAACCUUGGAAAACAACUUUGCAUGAUCAUUAGACAAACAUAGAUCCAAGCUUAUUAGGGUUGCGUGUACACUUAGGAAGUGUUAGAAUGCUCUAAACCCAUCAUAGAUAAGGGUCAUUAGUUAACAUGGUGUAGUUACUUAUGGUGUCCAUGGAUGACAUAUGGGUUAUUGGUCAACAUGGUAGUUGCUUAUGGUGUCCAUGGAUGACAUAUGGGUCAUUGGUCAACAAGGUGUAGUUGCUUAUGGUGUCCAUGGAUGACAUAUGGGUUAUUGGUCAACAUGGUAGUUGCUUAUGGUGUCCAUGGAUGAAAUAUGGGCCAUUGGUCAACAUGGUAGUUGCUUAUGGUGUCCAUGGAUGACAUAUGGGUCAUUAGUCAACAGUGUGACAACCCGAUAUUUCAACUCUAUGUAAUGACCUAAAAAGUCAAGUAUUGUAACCACUUUUGAUAUAAUGAAAUUAACUUCUAAAAUAUAAUGUCCAAAAGUCUGUAAUUAAUUACCUACUAUGUUAGAUGUCAUUAAACCAUGAUCGUACGUAAAAAGAACGCCCAAAUCUGACUUCGUAUAAGGAAGUUAUGAUUUUUCCAAGUUCGGCUUAGUGACAGACAGCUAAAAACUCGAAAUGGAGAUCGAGCGACUUUUGGCCGGAAUGACCUAAAUGAGAAUCAAAGGUCUCGACAAUGGUUUUUCAACGGUAAAAAGUCUGGCAAAAACAGACUUCAGAUAAUGAAGUUAUGAAUUUCUAACGAAAUUUUCUUACCGCGACCUUUUAAAAAUAAAAAAAUAAAAAUAAUUUCAAUAUUUGUCAACGGAGUAUAAACGAAAGUUGUAGAGCGUAGUCUCACCUACGCGCAGAUAUAAAGAACGUCGAAAACGGAGUUUGUAUGAAGAAGAUAUGAAUUUUUUAAGUUUAUUAAAUAAUAAAAAUUUAAAUUUAAAUCAAAUUUCGGUAUUAUCCGAAGGAGGAGUCACCAGGCCAAUCCGAGUUACGCCUAGCGUACUCGAGGACUAGGCCUUGGAUCGUCCACGUCGCCUCCUAUGCGAGGCUCUGCCCCGUCCCAUCCGAAGCUCCGAGGCAGUCGAGGAGGCGGUUACGCAUGAUGCACGCGUACGCCGAGCGUACCGAGGCAGUUCCAGCCCCUAUAAAAGGGAUGCGAGGGUUCCGACGAAAUGGCUCAAUUCCUCUCAUCUUUCUUGAGUUUUUGCCUCGUUUUCCAUGCACGUGAUAUCCCGAAGUCCAGGUUUCCUUGCUCAAGUCCCGAAGGUCGUUUGUGCUCCCGAGAUUCCCGAGAAUCCCGAGAAAAUCCGCUUUCUCGAGUCAAAAUUCUGCUCGGUUUUCAUCUCGCCUUCUUCGAUCUUUCAAGUGAGUUCAUACCCCUAUAAUCCACACUUUUAAAUGUUUUAUAAAUGCUUUUAUAUGCUUUUUAAGGGGGGAAAUACAAGUAAAACACACGAUUAUUAUCGUGUGUUAUAUAAAGAUUCAUUAUACACUUUUUAUCAAUGGAAUCAUAUGUGAUUUAUAACUAUUAUAGGGAAACUUUCGUAUGCAAAAUAUAUCACGAUAACAUCUUGUCUUUUGAAAUGAAAAAUGUUGUUAUAUAUAUAAAUCAAACACUAUGCUUAUACUGUAUGUAUAUGUGUCCAUUUUUGGCACUACAAAAGUUAUACUUUUCAUAACAAGUCAGCAUUUCACUACGGUUUACUAUACAAACGAGACACACUUUUAGAAAACUAUAUUAGGUAUAGUUUUACAAGAACAUCACGAACUUUUUCGUACUAGAAACACUAUUUCAAGGAGAUACAUUCAUAUACAAGAACAAACAAACAUUUUCAUACGUAAAUCUGUUUUAUACUAAGUUUUGUGAGACAUUAAACUUCACGUACGUUCGAGUACGCAUUUCAAGUCCUGUAUUAUAUACCAGAAUCCCUUGGAGGGGGAGCAUGGUGUUUGUGUAUAGAUCUAUACGGGAUUGAAAACCCCGCGCCCUGACUGUUAGCUACAGUACACCAUUUGGGGUGACAAACGUUAGAACAUUCCAACGCCUGAAGAACGUUGUGUAUAGGCAUUUCUAGUCAAUAGCAUGGUUAUAAAACUCACAUGGAGUAUUAAAAACACGUUGAUUUACGGGGUUUUUCAGACGUGUUGGCAAUUUUAUACGUACAUAAAUUAACUACUUUAGGCAUGAAAAACCUUAUUGUGAUACAAUUUUGGAACUUCUAAACCACUACCCACAUACGGAAAAACAUCAAUUUUCUAGAAACAAACAUUGGUCUUGAUAGAAGGCUACAUUUAUACUAGUAGAAAAUAUGGGAUUUUCUAGCAACAAACAAACAAAAACAAAACAUUUCAUUUUAGUUCAUACAAACAUUGUCAUUUAAUACUUAUGAAACUCACCAGCUUAAAUGCUGUUCUACUCUUUCAAAACUACUUGUAUGUCCUCGGGAUUCAGUAAUUACAGGUAACAAACAGCUUUUGAAGAAGGGACGCUGCGGCGCCAGUUUAAAUUCAUAUUUUGGCAUCAUAUUGUAAUUGGUUUUGAACAUGUACCUUUUAACAAUGUAAACUUUCAAUUAAAUAUAUGAUGGUUAUAUUGCUUUUUUUACUAUUAUUCAAUUGUUAUGGUACUACAUGAAGUCAUCCGCCCACAAACGUUUCCGCCGUUCCGGUUUGGGGGUGUGCCAGAUUGGUAUCAGAGCAAUGUUUAUAGUGAACUAAGUAUAUCGAACCACAUAAGAUAUACAAACUAUAAACGCUUAAGGGACUAAUACUCUCUGACAAAACAUUUUUUUGUUUUACGCCUAAUUCGCGUUUCGUUUAACUUAAAUUGUUAGUUCAUUUAAGUGCAAAUACAUGCAUACAACAACUUAUUUUCAUGAUUAUAACUAUACAAGAAGUAUUUAGACAAGUUGGACACUACGAUUAAGACUCGAUAUAUGUAAUCAGAUUUGGGCCAAAUAUAGCAUGAUCAAAUAUAUUUGUCCGAGAUCGGACCAAUGUAUAUCGAGGAAUACUCGUAGUGAGCAACAAGUCAAAAGUUACCAAAACAUCACAAGAAUCAAACACACGAAUUUAAAUACUAUAGGAGUAUUUGUUACAUAAAAUAGCUUAACUUACAUGUUUAGUCUUACAUAUUCCAAAUUUUAUUCAAUUCUUAUAACCCUAUUCUCGUACAGUCAAAUGGCUGGAUUUCACAACCCCGGCGACCCCUACUAUCACAACCAAGGCAAUGGGGGAUGGAUCGGAGAGGAUCCUGAGGAGGACGAAGAACCCAUAGAAUUGGAUGAAGAGGAGGACUCUGGUAUCGACUCAGAGCCGGAAGUAAUCAACCCACCACCCGCACAACCUCUCGUAUUCGUGAGAAACUUUCAAGGACCGAAUCCUGUUUGGAAAAGUCACCUCCACCAUUGGAUCCAACAACAAAGUCUACACCCUCCUUAUGGCAUGUGUCGAGAUUUCUACGAUGUCCGCAGCGGAGGUUCAGCCGAUCGAGCACUCACAGUCAUGGUGCGCAAACUAGCCAACCAGUUCUACCAAUCCGGAGUUCAAGCUAGCCGGAUUCGGGAAGUCAACGUGGAAGUACAGGUUCACACUCCCGAAAUCCGUAGGCUGGACAGAGCUCAGGAGAAUACCCAACUCCAAACCGAAGCAUUCCAAGCGCAAAUGAUUUCGGCCCUCUCCGAAUUGAGGGAACAACAAGCCGCCUUCAAUUGGCGUCUUAUGGAAUCAAAGCAAUCGGAUGCGGAGUCAAACUCCAAGCGCAACCUACGUCGCAAGUAGUUCUUGCCAAAAUCCCAAAUUUUGUUAUAAGUUAGGACCUCGACUAAAAGUUUUAUUUUUCUUAAACUUUGUAACCGGAGACCCUUAUAGGGGUCAAAUUUUCGUGAUCGUUGUAUCAACUAUUAUAUUAAUAUAAUUGGCACGCUAUUAUUACUACAUUAAGUAUUUCGUUCAAUCCUCAAAAUAUUAUGGAGAAACCAUACGCUUGUUUCAUAUAUUCAGAUUUACGAAUAACUUCCAUUCUUUUAUCUUUGAAACUCAUACUAUCAUCUGUUGUUGAUCUAUAGCGAUUUAGUUCAUGAGGCACAUUCAUUUUCUAUGCUAUGGAAUUCUUAUCUUUAUCUUCUCAACCUGUAGUUGGAGGAUGCCUCCGCGUAGAAACCCGAGACGAAACAACGUUGGGGAAGCACCAAUACCACCACCGCCUCCACCUCCUCAAUUUGAUGUUGUCAUGUUCCAAACAGCAGUUACAGUAGCUGUGGUGUCUGCCAUGUCACAAAUCAAUACCCCUGUUACUACUGGUUCGGGAAUUGGCACACUUCCUUCCAUCCAUGGCGAGAGUCAUGGGCAACCCCGAGAGUGCACCUAUAAAGACUUUACGAAUGCCAAGCCCCAGAUGUUUAAUGGAACUAGUGGUGUGAUGAUUUUGAGGCAAUGGGUUGAAAGGACAGGAUCAGUCUUUGAAAUCUGCUCCUGUCCCGAGCACAGCAAAGUUAAGUUUGCCGCUUUCACACUUACUGAUAGGGCUUUAACUUGGUGGAAUGGCCGCGUUAAGGUACUUAAUCUGAUAGCGGCGAAUGCAAUAAGCAGGGAGAGCAUAAAAAUCAUGCUGAUGAGAGAAUACUGUCCACGAGGAGAGAUUCAAAAACUCGAGCACGAACUCUGGACUCUUGGAAUGAUUGGUACCGAUAUAGCAACUUAUACCAACAAAUUCUGCGAUCUGGCAGUCCUUUGCCCAGAUAUGAUUGCUCCUGAGAGCAAGAAAAUAGAGAAAUACAUUUGGGGACUGUCGCCCCAAAUUUAGUCAAGCGUGUUAGCUUCAAAACCUAUCACUUUUGAAAGUGCCAAAGAGCUGGCACAAUCUCUUACUGAUCACAGAAGUCAUUAGAACUCAACAAUUUCUGCACCAGAACCACAAAAGGGAAACAACAACAACAAUAACAAGAAGAGAUGAUGGAAUAAGGGGAAGGGUGGGUCUUCCCAAGAAUCCUCGAAGGAACAACAACUAGUUACAGUGAAUNUGUGAGUGUGUGUGUGUUGUGUUCGGCCGAGAGUGAGAGAGAGGAGAGAAGAGAAGUGAUUUUGAAGUGAUGUGCAUACAUGGAAGUAUGAGAUGUUGCAUGGAUGUCCUAUGGAUAACAAUGAUGUGGCACAACAAGUCAACUCUUCCAUCCUCUUGGGCUUGUGCAUUUGGGCCGAGAAUUUGGAAAGAAAAGGAAAAAUUUGGGCCUUUGCCCCUAAGCCCAAUAUUAGUGUUAAUCUUGAGUAUGUUUUAAGCCUAAAAGAAUGUGGUAGGAUUUUCAUAUUUUUAUUGGACUAGUUUAGGUUAUUCAUGUAUCAAGGCUUUUAAUUCAUUUCCUUCUAGGUCCAACAUGGCCCAAAAUGUUGAAAUAAAUUAGUGUGGGUCCAAUUAGAGCCCAAUUAGGGUUCUAAGCCCAUGAUAGUCUAAUUGGAAGCUUAUUGGUCCACUUGGAUCCAAUAAGGGAGUCCUAGUCCGAAAUGGACAUUAAACAAGGACUUCUAGGGUUUCCAAUUGUCUGAUGACUAUUUGUAGUACUUGUAUAAUGUAUUUGGUUGAAGUUUUUGAAGUCAUAAUCAUAGGUGUCAAUCAUGUUCUUAAGUUUUUGAUUCACAUUAGCUUGAAUGUAUAGAUUACAUGACACAAAAUUUCCAGUUGUGACAGUGGGACGAGUUUUGGCUAUUGGCCACGAAGAAGCCAUAGCUGAUCCUACAGUAGUUGCUAGUACAUUUCUUCUCGAUAAUUCAUACGCAUGCAUACUAUUCGAUAGUGGAGCAGAGAGAAGCUUCGUAAGCCAAAACUUUAUUCACUUACUUAAGCAUAAACCUAGCAUGUUAGAAAAAUCAUUCACUGUAGAAAUGGCAAACGGAAGAACGAAAACCACUAAAUGCAUAUACAUGAGUUGUACAUUAACUUUAGACGGUCAUUCUUUCCCAAUCAACCUCAUGCUGGUCCAAAUUAAAAGUUUCGAUGUCAUAGUUGGCAUGGAUUGGUUAAGUCUUAUUUGUGCUGACAUCAUGUGCUUUGAAAAAGCAGUUCGUCUUAAUCUCCCUAAUGAUGAAACAUUACUGAUUUAUGGCGACAAAUCAAGUACAAACCUUCACAUCAUUUCAUGCAUCCAAGCUCGAAAGUGUUUGCGGAAGGAUUAUUAUGCAUUUCUUGCUCACAUCGUCGAUACGAGUCAGGAAGUAAAGGAUACUAAGAGCAUUCCAGAAGUACGCGACUUUCCCGAUAUAUUUCCAGAAGAACUACCGGGAUUACCACCGCGUCGUCUAGUCGACUUUAGAAUCAACUUAGUUCCAGGGGCUACCGUAGUUGCAAAAUCGCCUUAUCGCCUGGCACCAACAAAGAUGCAAGAAUUUUCCAGUCAGCUUAACGAACUCCACCAAAAAGGAUUCAUUAGACCAAGCUUCUCACCUUGGGGAGCACCGGUCUUGUUUGUAAUGAAGAAAGAUGGAUCGUUCCAUAUACGCAUUGACUACAGAGAACUGAACAAACUUACUGUCAAAAAUCGUUACCCUGUGCCCCGCAUUGAAGACGUAUUUGAUCAACUUCAAGGAGAAAACUACUUCUCGAAGAUAGAUCUACGAUCCGGAUAUCACCAAUUGCGAGUACUAGAGGAGGAUAUUCCCAAGACAACCUUUCGAACCCGUUAUGGACACUACGAAUUUGUAGUGAUGCCGUUCGGAUUAACCAACGCACCAGCGGUAUUCAUGGACCUAAUGAAUACGGUGUGCCGUCCUUACUUAGAUCAGUUUGUCAUCGUAUUCAUCGAUGAUAUACUUAUCUACUCCCGAAGUAAGGAAGAGCAUAGUCAGCACCUACGAAAAGUCUUAGAAACAUUAUGAUCGGAGAAGCUCUAUGCGAAGUUCUCAAAAUGCGAAUUUUGGAUUCGAAGAGUCGAAUUUUUGGGCCACGUUGUUAGCGAAAAGGGGAUACACGUGGACCCCUCUAAAAUUAAGGCCAUUGAGAACUGGUCGGCACCAAAGACGCCUACAAAGAUUCAUCAAUUUCUAGGUCUCGCUGGCUACUAUCGCAGAUUCAUAAAGAACUUCUCUAGCAUUGCGAAACCUCUUACUACAUUAACCCAGAAAGGCGUGGCCUUUGACUGGGAAGCAAAACUAGAGAAGGCGUUCCAAACACUGAAACAGGCCUUGUGCACCGCACCGAUACUAUCCCUCCCCGAAGGGAUAGAAGAUUUCGUAGUGUAUUGCGAUGCAUCAAAUCAAGGACUUGGUUGGGUUCUUAUGCAAAGAGGGAAGGUUAUUGCCUAUGCCUCCCGUCAGCUUAAGAUACACAAAGUAAACUAUACAACACACGUUCUUGAGUUAGCAGCAGUGGUAUUUGCUCUGAAGAUCUGGAGACACUACCUGUAUGGAACAAAGAGUACUAUUUUCAUCGACCAUAAGAGCCUUCAACACAUUUUCGAUUAGAAGGAGCUCAACAUGCGACAACGACGAUGGGUCGAGCUACUCAAUGACUACGAAUGCAAAAUUCAUUAUCAUCCUAGCAAGGCCAAUGUAGUAGCUGAUGCCCUCAGUCGAAAAGAAUACACUGGUCGGAGAGUCAAAUCUCUGACUAUGACUAUCCAUUCCCACUUAUCCACACAAAUUAAGGAGGUUCAACUGGAAGCUUUGCAACCUGAACAUGUGGCGGGUGAAUCCCUGAGAGGAAUGGAAAAGAAUCUAGAAAUCAAGCAUGGCGGAGCAUAUUAUCUCAUGGACCUUAUCUGGACACCGAGACAUGGUGGCUUUAGAGACGUGGUCAUGACCGAAGAACACAACACGAGGUAUUCCGUUCACCCAGGUUCAGAUAAAAUGUAUCUAGAUCUUAAGAAAAUGUACUGGUGGCCUAACAUGAAAGCAGAAAUUGCUACCUUCGUAAGUAAAUGUCUUAGUUGCGCUAAGGUUAAGGUCGAGUAUCAGAAACCUUCAGGAUUACUACAACAACCGGAGAUACCAGAAUGGAAAUGGGAACAGAUUACUGUGGACUUCAUAACUAAGUUGCCCAAGACAACGGGUGGACUCGAUACCAUAUGCGUCAUCAUCGACAGAUUGACCAAAUCCGUGCAUUUUCUACCAAUCAAGGAGACUGACAAGAUGGAAAGGCUUACAAGAACUUAAAUAAGGGAAAUAGUGUGACUGCAUGGUCUUCCGAUAUCCAUUAUCUCCGAUAGAGAUAGUAGAUUCACUUCAAGGUUCUGGCAGUCACUACAAAGUUCCAUGGGGACUAGGCUAGACAUGAGUAUAGCCUACCAUCCACAAACAGACGGGCAAAGUGAGAGAACGAUACAAACUUUGGAAGAUAUGAUGAGAGCCUAUGUGAUUGACUUUGGAAAGGCAUGGGAUAUCCAUUUACCCCUUGUCGAAUUUUCAUACAAUAAUAGUUAUCAUACGAGCAUAAAGGCUGCUCCAUUUGAAGCCCUCUAUGGCCGUAAGUGCAGGUCCCCUCUGUGUUGGACUGAAGUUGGCGACACACAAUUAGCUAAAGGACGAGUUCCUGAAAGCACUUUCACCGGUCCGGAAAUCAUACGGGAAACGAUAGAGAAGAUCGUUCAGAUUCGUGAACGGUUUAAAGCCUCUAGAGACCGACAGAAAAGCUACGCUGACCAAAGGAGGAAAUCUUUGGAAUUCCAAGUAGGAGACCACGUACUAUUGAAGGUCUCACCGUGGAAAGGCUUAAUAUGCUUUGGAAAGGGUGGAAAGCUAAAUCCAAGAUACAUAGGGCCUUUCGAGAUUCUCACCAGAAUCGGCCCUGUAGCUUACAAACUCAAUCUACCACGUGAACUUAGUAACAUACACCCAAGACAACGGGUGGACUCGAUACCAUAUUGGUUUUGAACAUGUACCUUUUAACAAUGUAAACUUUCACUUAUAUAUAUGAUGGUUAUAUUGCUUUCUUUACUAUGUAUUCAAUUGUCAUGGUACUAAAUGAAGAUAUCCGCCCCCGAACGUUUCCGCCAUUCUGGUUUGGGGGUGUGACAAACAGGUAGUUGCUUAUGGUGUCCAUGGAUGAUAUAUGGGUCAUUUGUCAACAUGGUAGUUACUUACGGAGUCCAUGAAUGACAUGUAGGUCAUUGGUCAACAUGUAGUUGCUUAUGGUGUCUGACAUAUGGGUAAUUAGUAAACUUGGUGUAAUUGCUUAUGGUGUCCAUGGAUGACAUAUGGGUCAUUGGUCAACAUGAAAGUUGCUUAUGGUGUCCAUGGAUGACAAAAGAGCCAUUGAUUAACAUGGUGUAGUUACUUAUGAUGUCCAUGGAUGACAUAUGGGUUAUUGGUCAACAUGGUAGUUGCUUAUGGUAUCCAUGGAUGACAUAUGAGUCAUUGGUCAACAAGGUGUAGUUGCUUAUGGUGUCCAUGGAUGACAUAUGGGUCAUUGGUAAACAUGGUGUAGUUUCUUAUAGUAUCUAUGGAUAACAUAUGGCUCAUUGGUCAACAUGGUGUAUUUGCUUAUGGUGUCCAUGGAUGACAUAUGGGUCAUUGGUUAACAUGGUGUAGUUGCUUAUGGUGUCCAUGGAUGAAAUAUGGGUCAUUGGUCAACAUAGUAGUUCCUUAUGGUGUCCACGGAUGACAUAUGGAUCAUUAGUCAACAUGUAGUUGUCUAUUGUGUCCAUGGAUGACGUAUGGGUCAAUGGUCAACAUGGUAGUUGCUUAUGGUGUCCAUAGAUGACAUAUAGGUCAUUGGUCAACAUGUAGAUGCUUAUGGUGUCUGACAUAUGGGUAAUUAUUAAACUUUGUGUAAUUGCUUUUGGUGUCCAUGGAUGACAUAUAGGUAACUGGUCAACAUGUUAGUUGCUUAUGGUGUCCAUGGAUGACAUAAGGGUCAUUGGUUAACAUGGUGUAGUUACUUAUGAUGUCCAUGGAUGAUAUAUGGGUUCUUGGUCAACAUGGUAGUUCCUUAUGGUGUCCAUGGAUGACAUAUGGGUCAUUAGUCAACAAGGUGUAGUUGCUUAUGAUGUCCUUGGAUGACAUAUGGGUCAUUGGUCAACAUGGUGUAGUUGCUUAUGGUGUCCAUUCAUGACAUAUGGGUCAUUGGUC
Molecule: long non-coding RNA, 19192 nt
Filed under: Lactuca sativa (garden lettuce)
Lineage: Eukaryota; Viridiplantae; Streptophyta; Magnoliopsida; Asterales; Asteraceae
Description: long non-coding RNA (LSAT_LNC008823)
Source: RNAcentral